This 745-nucleotide long non-coding RNA is filed under the name Brachypodium distachyon (stiff brome). RNAcentral describes it as "long non-coding RNA (BDIS_LNC005923)". Lineage: Eukaryota; Viridiplantae; Streptophyta; Magnoliopsida; Poales; Poaceae. The record is from RNAcentral.
CCAGAACUUUGUACUUAGGGUGUCAAGUGGGAUCCCACCAAUUCCCACUUAUAAGCCAAUUUCUAAAUUUUAGUUCAGGUUUUACGCCAAAAUAUUGUACUAGCAAAUUCCUUUUGAACUAGAAGUGGGACAUAAGCGGGAUCCCAAUUACAUCCCUAAUUGUACUAAACAUUGAUUUAAGAAUUUUUCACCAAUGCAUCCCAUUUAAGAAACAUUAAUGUGACAGAAGUUACCCACCAUUAACCAUUUCUCUGAAAAGGAGGCGUUAAUUUCCGUCACAACUUCCGUUGCUGUUUUCAACUAACCUUCUCCCUAAUUUGCACAAAAAAAUAAAAUAAAAUCAAGAGUUGCUCGAAAAAUAUAUUCAGGAGUGACAUAUCAUUACUACUGGGGUGCUUGUCUGGGCACAAGGCAUAUUGCAGUGAGAUUGUACCUUUUGCUCCCUGCAAUUGCUCAAUAAUUGUGGGGGAGUUCCACUAAAAAGGCUUGAACGCACACUCCACUCUUUUAUUGAACCUUUAUUGAAUCGUCACCGUCCAUAUGCCAUGCAUGAUGCAUCAAAGGACACACACAACUCGUCGACACGAGCGACCAACCGAUGUGCUGAUGUGCACACAGAAUUACAGAUGGAUGAGGAUGAUAGAUACCUGUGCUGUUGUGUGCAUGCAGAAAUGCUCCACCUGAGGAUCGCAUGCAACAACUUUGCCAUACACACUACGGGAGAAACCGGCAAAGCCGGAGGCCA